UACAGAGGUCCCAAGCGUUGUUCGGAUUCAUUGGGCGUAAAGGGUGCGUAGGCUGCGUCAUAAGUCGGAUGUGAAAUCCCGGGGCUCAACCCUGGAACUGCAUUCGAUACUGUGGUGCUAGAGGACUCUAGAGGAAAUUGGAAUUCACGGUGUAGCAGUGAAAUGCGUAGAUAUCGUGAGGAAGACCAGUGGCGAAGGCAGGUCUCUGGGCCACUACUGACGCUGAGAAGCGAAAGCAUGGGGAGCGAACAGG
This 253-nucleotide ribosomal RNA is filed under the name uncultured bacterium. Its description in RNAcentral is "partial 16S ribosomal RNA". It matches the Rfam family "Bacterial small subunit ribosomal RNA", at positions 524 to 776 of the family's 1533-position model. The record is from RNAcentral.